GCCCUGCCGACGGUGGAUCCGGCCUCCCCCUCCCUCCCUCCACCGUCGUCCCCUCUCCCUGGACCCCCUCCCCGUCUCAGCGGCAGCGGAUCCAGCCUCCUCCGUCCCCAUCUCGUUGGCGUGCGGGGGCCUGGGCGGCGUUGGAUCUUGUCAUGGGAGCGCGGAUCCAGCCUCAUCCGUCCCCAUCUCGUUGGCGCACGGCGACCCGGGCAGGGCGACGAUGAUUCGACGCGGGCGGCGUCGGAUCUGGCCAUACGACGAUGGACCAGUCGGAGCAGUAGUGCCGACGGCAGUGGAUCCGGGAAGGAAGAACGUGGCAGGGGCAAUUCGGUCAUAUAAUCCCAAAAUUCUACCAAAAAUACAUCUAAAAUGUAUAAAUGGAUAAAAAUGACAAAAGAUCGAAGCUCACCCACUUAAGCGUGGCUCUUUAUCGAAACCCAUUUGUAGGAUGGCAUACCAUCGAAUCUAACAUUAAGCAGUGGCAAAAUCUCAGAUUUCUCGGAUUGAAGAGAUAGUGUCGUCUAACCACAAUCCAUUAUUAAGGCUUCGCACGUUACCCUCGUGGUCAUGGCAAAAACAUUAUUGCGUAUAUAGAUGAUUAAGCUACAACAAGACACGACCAUAACUUAUAUGAUGAAGUUCAUAAUUUUUCAUGCAAAAGAGUAGAUAUUUAAAGGAAGCAGACUCGGUGGCACCUUACCUAUUAAUUUAUUAAUAGAAUAAAAAAUUUUCAUGUUAUAUUUAAAUUUUAAAUUUAAAUAAUAUAUGAACAAGUCGCAGUUUCUACGUAUUAAAAAGGCAUAAAUGGUGAAAGAACACAUUAAUUCAUUGUAUAUCAAGUUCGUAAAUUUGAAUUUCAGCUACAACUUAUAAGCUAAGGAGUUGAUGAGUUAAUGGACAGCUUCAAUUUAUAUCAUGGAUCUAAGAAAGUAUUUUUUUUUUGGUGUCUUACGUUACAUGUAGAGUGAAAAUUGACCUUUAUCAUCUUUGGAGCGAAUUUUCUAGGAUUCUAACGGCUUUGUGCUUUCAGUAGGAGACAACAUGCCCAUCGUCAGCCCAGGUAUCCGUGGUGACUUCGUUAUUCUAUAGAUCUUGCCGACGGUCUUCGGAGGUGCUCAUAGGGGUAGGGUUUGCGUGCGUGUGUUCUCAGGGGGAGUGUGCGUGCGUUAUGAGCGUCUGCAUUAUACUGUGUUCUUAAAAAAAUUGACCUUUAUAUCACACUGGAUACAUUUAAUUCUUUUUGGGUUUAAUAAGAUUUUUGUAUAUUUCGAUCUCUAGAAAUUUCUAAUCC
RNAcentral lists this long non-coding RNA (1291 nucleotides) under Oryza brachyantha (malo sina). RNAcentral describes it as "long non-coding RNA (OBRA_LNC001243)". The record is from RNAcentral. Lineage: Eukaryota; Viridiplantae; Streptophyta; Magnoliopsida; Poales; Poaceae.